ACUCAAAUGAAUUGACGGGGACCCGCACAAGCGGUGGAUCAUGUGGUUUAAUAUGACGGUACGCGUAGAACCUUACCGAGGCUUGACAUCCUGCGAAUCCGCUGGAAACAGUGGAGUGCCGCAAGGAGCGCAGUGACAGGUGCUGCAUGGCCGUCGUCAGCUCGUGUCGUGAGAUGUUGGGUUAAGUCCCGCAACGAGCGCAACCCUUGUCGUAUGUUGAAUAUUUCAUGCGAGACUGCCCGGGCCAACCGGGAGGAAGGUGGGGUCGAAGUCAGGUCGGCAUGGCCCUUACGCCUCGGGCCACACACGUGAUACAAUGGCCGGCACAACGCGCCGCUAAGCCGCAAGGCGGAGCUAAUCGCAUCAAAACCGGUCCCAGUUCGGAUAGGAGGCUGCAACUCGCCUUCUUGAAGUCGGAAUCGCUAGUAAACGUGGGUCAGCACACCACGUUGAAUACGUUCCCGGGUCUUGCACACACCGCCCGU
Molecule: ribosomal RNA, 485 nt
Filed under: uncultured bacterium
Lineage: Bacteria
Description: partial 16S ribosomal RNA
Rfam family: Bacterial small subunit ribosomal RNA
Source: RNAcentral